RNAcentral lists this long non-coding RNA (1242 nucleotides) under Phaseolus vulgaris (common bean). Its description in RNAcentral is "long non-coding RNA (PVUL_LNC003158)". Lineage: Eukaryota; Viridiplantae; Streptophyta; Magnoliopsida; Fabales; Fabaceae. The record is from RNAcentral.
GUUGUGCAAAUCUGUGUGAAGUGGGAGGACAUUCUCUUAGGUAAGAAAUAGUUACUGAAUUACAUAAUCAGUGAAAGAACAUCUGCUGAAGGAUGAUACCCUAAGUAUACUGUUGGUAGAUUCCUAACAUAUCUUUGCAUUUGUUGAGAACAAAGGUGAAAGACUGUGCCAGAACAGUAGGAUCAUUGUUUCUACCUAACAAAGCUAUUUCUAUCUUUUACCAUGUUACAGACAGUGGUGACAAUCAUUGAAUUUUGCGUGUGGAUUAGAGAAUUCAGGGACCAAGGAAUCACGAACACAUGUCAUGGAUUUUGUGGACAUUGGACUAGACUAGACCAGCAUGUAAUGAAAGGUUGCACCAAGGACAAUGACAUUAUUUAAAAUGUUGUAGCUUGGUCUUAAUGAUUCUGAUAAGAAAGUGACUCAACUAAGCCUAACUAUUUUGCUUCUGAACUUGUUCAUGCCUAAGUGCUGUUUUUAAAUUGCUGCAAGAAGGUUGAUUAUGUGCAAAUUCCUUUGAGAAGCAAGUGGAACUAAAUCAUACCUUGUUGUUGAGUACUUGUGUAUGGUUAUAAUUUUUUAGAACCUUUACAGUGAACAACUACAAACAAAAUUGUAAAGGACAAGGUAGAAUAAUGUGGUUUCAAUUCAUUCGCAAGAUUCUUAACUUUAUUCCCCUGUAAAGGCUAAAAGCAACUCAAUUAUGCCAACCAAGAUCUCAUUUCCCUUUUAUCAAAUCUUCACUGAUAUUCAUGUCUUAAUCCAAGAACUCUUUUUUAGAUUCUCUUGAAAAUUUAUAACUCAUUUCUGCUGUUUCUUUUUCUCUCAAGUUUGGUAGAGAUGGAGUACCAGACACUGCUCUAAGAACCAACAGUCAAACGAAGUAUCAGCACAUCCAUGUCCCGAGGGGAGAAAACAGAGAAACAAAAGGCACAUGCUCAACCAACUAUUCUCAUAAUAUCACUCAAAUUUCUGCAACUCAAAUUUAUUUUCUUUCUGUUUCCUAUGAUAAAAAAUAAUAAGUAUGUAUCCUUUCAACAAGAAAGGGGAAAGAAAAAACAAAGAGUCAAAGCAAGAAUUGGAAAAAAAAAUACACAAGAAAUAAAAAAGAUGUUAAAAGAACAUGUUCCUUAUCUUAGCAAGUAGUGGCUUGAGUUCGAGAUUGAGUUCUUUCUUAGUAUACAGUUGUGUUGAAUACUCGAACAAGAUUGUGUCCUGUGAAAGAUGUUUUGUUUUCCUCAU